This 253-nucleotide ribosomal RNA is filed under the name uncultured bacterium. RNAcentral's name for it is "partial 16S ribosomal RNA". It matches the Rfam family "Bacterial small subunit ribosomal RNA", at positions 524 to 776 of the family's 1533-position model. The record is from RNAcentral.
GACAGAGGGGGCAAGCGUUGCUCGGAAUCACUGGGCGUAAAGGGCGCGUAGGCGGGAUGGCAAGUCAGUCGUGAAAUCUCUCGGCUCAACCGAGAAACGUCGGCUGAUACUGCCGUUCUUGAGGGAUGCAGAGGAGACUGGAAUUCCCGGUGUAGCGGUGAAAUGUGUAGAGAUCGGGAGGAACACCGGUGGCGAAGGCGGGUCUCUGGGCAUUUCCUGACGCUGAGGCACGAAGGCCAGGGGGGCAAACGGG